GACGCGGCCCACUGUAAAAAGGUAAGAAGUGUAGACGAAUGGGAUGAGCGUGUAAUUGACAUGGAGGGAAAGUGACAAGCAGGAAGAUGAGAGGGGAGUAUUGAACCAACGAGGCCUUUGGGGAGAAGCAGACAGAUAAGAGAGAGGACACGUUGUCAUACAGGCUGCCAUUCAGCACACUCACAAGAAUCUUAAAUCAUUGAACACAAUAGCCUGUGUAAUGACAAGGGAUUGUACUCUGCUCACACAUUAUUCAUAUAGUGUGCCCCCCCCCUUCUCCUUCAUAGAAGAACACCAACCACACCCAAUGCGCUCUUCAUCUCUCACAAUGAUUUUGAAGUGUCACCCACUCAAAGGUACGCAUUUAAAUGAACGUGACAAGAAGGCUUCUUUCACCUCCAGUUGUUGCCGAUUUGGUGUAUUUUUUUUCCGUCGAGGCACAAAGCUUCCCCUCCUCUUGUCUUUGUCCUUGUACAUAAGAGCGAGAUGAGAAGAUGAGGAGGAGCGACGUGGGUCAAAGCAUCUUUCUCUCUGGUGCCUUCGCAUUUGGCCCAGUCACAGGAUGCCGUAAACGAACUGAAUAGUUUGAUCUGCGUCACAGUGCACAAAAAGCCAGCAGUGGGAGGAAAAGUCACAAUACAAAAUGUUAAAUGAUUAAAUCAAGAACAAUUCUAUUCAGGUCAGUCAACUAGUUGCUCGCUGUUCUCAAAUCUUUCGUUGCGUCUCCCCCAUCGUUUGAAUGAGUCUCUGUGCAUGGAAAGAUGCUCACACAAACUUUGACGUUUUCCUCUCCGCCUCUGCUUAUGGUGAAGUCUUCAACAUGACUCGUGACGUGACAUCAACGACUUUGGAGCCAAUUAUGUCAGCGCAGCACGGCGGAGUGCAACUCACAAAACUGAGAACAAACUCGAGUUCAGUCAGAAUCAUCUUUCUUCAUGCUUGAAAUAUGCACACUUCCUUUUAUUCCCCCCCCCCCACGAGGCAGGAGGGAAGAACGGCGUGUCCUUACAGAGUGUCUCUGGAUGUCUGCUGGGAAUUCCGAGCAGUCACUGUGUGCAUGUUGCAUGUCCAAUAUCUUUGUUUGAUUUUCUAGUUUUCAUCCACUGUUGCAUAACGGAAGACUUGUUUGCCAAGUACUUGGGGAAGUAAAGAUUUUUGUUUUUUCUCGUGCAUUCUGGGAGCAUAUUUGCCAGUUUUCUCCUCUCUGCCAAGCUCAGUUUUAAUGCUGAUCGUUUCAAUUAUUUGACAUUCUUAACGACCUCAUUUUCCUCUUCGUAGGGCUUUGUUAUUACAGCUUGUAACAUCGCUGGCCAGACAAGAAAUGUAACCUAAAACUAGCCGCAGUAUUUGAAACAAUAUCUCUCACACACACAUGCACUGUAUUGUACUGCCUGUAUUUUUGGCAGGUAGGAUCCACAGUUAUUUGACAUAAAUUAAAAAGAUGCAAGACA
Hippocampus zosterae (dwarf seahorse) is the source of this 1451-nucleotide long non-coding RNA. RefSeq lists it as uncharacterized. The record is from RefSeq and is a predicted model, not a curated record. NCBI's taxonomy places the organism in Eukaryota, Metazoa, Chordata, Actinopteri, Syngnathiformes, Syngnathidae. The transcript is spliced from 2 exons.